Molecule: ribosomal RNA, 274 nt
Filed under: uncultured bacterium
Lineage: Bacteria
Description: partial 16S ribosomal RNA
Rfam family: Bacterial small subunit ribosomal RNA
Source: RNAcentral
AUACGGAGGGGGCUAGCGUUGUUCGGAAUUACUGGGCGUAAAGCGCACGUAGGCGGAUUAAAAAGUUAGAGGAGAAAUCCCAGGGCUUAACCCUGGAACUGCCUUUAAAACUAGUAGUCUAGAGUUCGAGAGAGGUGAGUGGAAUUCCAAGUGUAGAGGUGAAAUUCGUAGAUAUUUGGAGGAACACCAGUGGCGAAGGCGGCUCACUGGCUCGAUACUGACGCUGAGGUGCGAAAGCGUGGGGAGCAAACAGGAUUAGAUACCCCAGUAGUCC